RNAcentral lists this ribosomal RNA (650 nucleotides) under uncultured Cortinarius. RNAcentral describes it as "eukaryotic LSU rRNA". The stretch from base 232 to 385 matches the Rfam family "5.8S ribosomal RNA". The record is from RNAcentral. Lineage: Eukaryota; Fungi; Basidiomycota; Agaricomycetes; Agaricales; Cortinariaceae.
CUUGGUCAUUUAGAGGAAGUAAAAGUCGUAACAAGGUUUCCGUAGGUGAACCUGCGGAAGGAUCAUUAUUGAAAUAAACCUGAUGGGUUGUUGCUGGUUCUCUAGGGAGCAUGUGCACACCUUGUCAUCUUUAUAUCUCCACCUGUGCACUUUUUGUAGACCUUUCAGGUCUAUGUUGCUUCAUUUACCCCAAUGUAUGUUAAUAGAAUGUUGUGCCUAUAUAAUAUAUACAACUUUCAGCAACGGAUCUCUUGGCUCUCGCAUCGAUGAAGAACGCAGCGAAAUGCGAUAAGUAAUGUGAAUUGCAGAAUUCAGUGAAUCAUCGAAUCUUUGAACGCACCUUGCGCUCCUUGGUAUUCCGAGGAGCAUGCCUGUUUGAGUGUCAUUAAUAUAUCAACCUCUUUAAAUUUUGAGAGUGUUUGGAUGUGGGGGUGUUAUUUUGCUGGCCUUCUCCAAGGUCAGCUCCCCUGAAAUGUAUUAGCGGAACAAUUUGUUGACCGUUCAUUGGUGUGAUAGCAUAUCUACGCUAUUGACGUGAAGCAAGUUCAGCUUAUAACAGUCCAUUGACUUGGACAAUUCUCUAUUUAUUAAUGUGACCUCAAAUCAGGUAGGACUACCCGCUGAACUUAAGCAUAUCAAUAAGCGGAGGA